CCACUUCUUGUGUAAUGUUUUCACUUCAAACAAAAACAAGGGGGUUAAACCCUGAGCCACCUUGGACUGGCCUUCUGGGAAAGGUGUGUCUUUUGCAUUAAAUCCUCCCUACUCGAAUUACCCUGCUGCCAUGGCCCCGGAGCUGGAGAGGAAGUGAAAGUAACUUGCAAGCUAAUGUUACAGCUGCCAGAAACAAACACAGAGCAGACGAAGCCAACAAGCUAGCUAACUUGUUUACCAAUAAACUGUCCUUGUAGCAGGGAAAACAGAAGCAAGAAUCAUUCUUGGUUCUUGGAUCUGAAUCAAGUCGACCCCAAAAGAAAAAAAGAAGCAAGCAAAAGACUGCCCAUGACCAAUCCAUAAACCGGAUAAACAUUGGAAUUAAUUUUGAAAGGUGGAAGAGUGAAUCCAAAAUGGUCAUCGUUCUCAUGGACUUGUAGGGAGAUACUGGUGGAGACAGUCUGAUUUCGAGGGAACCUGAGGUAGAAAAAUCAACACCAAAAGAGAGCCCUCCCGGUUCUGACCUGUUCUGCCUGCCCUGACACUGAGCACGCCUUCCUGACCAUUCAGCCUGCCCUGACCUCGAGCCUGCCUGCCCCCUGUACCUUUUGGACUCUGAUUUGGUUAAUGAACUUCUGCCUGUUCUCGACCUGCCCAAUGCCUGCCCCUUGUAUUCUAAUAAAUAUCAGCGACGCUAACUAUCUGCCUCCUGUGUCUGCAUCUGGGUCUCGCCCUGUGUCGUUAUACAGUUUGGUUUCGGUAGAUAAGUUACUGCCAAUGAACGCUAAUGUUAGCAUUUUCGGAAGAAAUACAUUACUUUACUCAGCAAAGUAUGUCUAAAGUUGUGUAACACUUUUACAACAGUCUGACACUUUUGUAAUAAAAUUGUCAAUAUAUUUUCUUAAAUAUCUUCUGUAUUGUGUGCUUAUUGUUUAACCAUUCAUACAGUAUGUUCUAGGGCAGUGGUUCUCAAACGUUUUCGGUUACUGUACCACCAACUGAAUUUUGCUCUGCCUGGAGUACCCCCUCAUGUGCAUUUUACCAGUAAGCCUAUGAUCUCAUGAGUCUUCUAAAGUACCCCCUGGUUGGGAACCACUGUUCUAGGGGACAUUAAGACCUUAACCCCUGUUGGUAUAAGUCCUUAAAUAGCAAUAUCUACUAAACUAACAUAUGGAAUUAUUUUAAGAUGAUCAUAAAAUGUGUCAUUUAGCUAUUUGAUUUACAUUUUUCGGACCCCUGUAG
RNAcentral lists this long non-coding RNA (1242 nucleotides) under Salmo salar (Atlantic salmon). Its description in RNAcentral is "lncRNA (ENSSSAG00000122106.1)". The record is from RNAcentral. Lineage: Eukaryota; Metazoa; Chordata; Actinopteri; Salmoniformes; Salmonidae.